This 490-nucleotide ribosomal RNA is filed under the name uncultured bacterium. Its description in RNAcentral is "partial 16S ribosomal RNA". It matches the Rfam family "Bacterial small subunit ribosomal RNA", at positions 30 to 507 of the family's 1533-position model. The record is from RNAcentral.
AUUGAACGCUGGCGGCAGGCCUAACACAUGCAAGUCGAACGGUAACAGGAAACAGCUUGCUGUUUCGCUGACGAGUGGCGGACGGGUGAGUAAUGUCUGGGAAACUGCCUGAUGGAGGGGGAUAACUACUGGAAACGGUAGCUAAUACCGCAUAACGUCGCAAGACCAAAGAGGGGGACCUUCGGGCCUCUUGCCAUCGGAUGUGCCCAGAUGGGAUUAGCUAGUAGGUGGGGUAACGGCUCACCUAGGCGACGAUCCCUAGCUGGUCUGAGAGGAUGACCAGCCACACUGGAACUGAGACACGGUCCAGACUCCUACGGGAGGCAGCAGUGGGGAAUAUUGCACAAUGGUCGCAAGCCUGAUGCAGCCAUGCCGCGUGUAUGAAGAAGGCCUUCGGGUUGUAAAGUACUUUCAGCGGGGAUGAAGGGAGUAAAGUUAAUACCUUUGCUCAUUGACGUUACCCGCAGAAGAAGCACCGGCUAACUCCGUG